Ananas comosus (pineapple) is the source of this 1758-nucleotide long non-coding RNA. RefSeq lists it as uncharacterized. NCBI's taxonomy places the organism in Eukaryota, Viridiplantae, Streptophyta, Magnoliopsida, Poales, Bromeliaceae. The transcript is spliced from 3 exons. The record is from RefSeq and is a predicted model, not a curated record.
UUGAGCACAGGAUGUAAUAAGUAGAUGAAAUUUCUAAGACGGAUUUUAAAUCAAAAGUACAAAAUCUGCAAUUAAAGGUGUUGUGAUUUUUGAGAAGCGAAAGAAGAUGAGAUCUCCUUGAAUGUAAAUCUUCAUAAAUUGGCAAAAGACUUAGUUACAGAGUAUAUAGAGAGAACACUGAUUUGACUAAACAAAAGCAAUCAUUUUGCCUAAUUAUUAAAGGAGAAGAAGUUGGUUGAUUGUUCAUGCUACAAUUUUCUUAGCAAUUCCGGUUUCUUAUUUAUUUCAGUUUAAUUGCCUCUUGCUUCAGCAAAUCCUUUAAUUAGUUCAAUCAAAUAAUGUGCUGAUUCACUUCACUUUGUCCUGGUCAAACUUGAUUUCUAAUAAAAGCCAUUUAUACAUUCUACAUCUAUGCAUUGAAUUAGUGACAGUUCUUGGGAAAUUUAAUCUCUUGCAUGGCUUUGGACACCUUUCAAGUUAAUAUAUCAUAUGAUCGAUCUGUGUCGGACAAACAAUAUUCGGACCGAAGUUCUUUGACGAAGUCAGUCCUCUUUGACGAAGUCAGUCCUUAUCUCUAAUACAUUCACUGCUGGAUUGGUUGUUCUCUGGUCUCAAAAAAAAAAAAAGAGGAGAAAUACUUGCUGAUAAAGAGACGGGAACUACAGUGGAUUGGAAAUUGGGUUGACUUAUUCUUGUAAAGAAAUUCGGCUUAUUCGUAGCGCGAUUAACCAGUUCAUGACGCGCGUAAACGUCCACUGAAGCUUGUGUUUAUGGUACGUUAAUUUCCCUUUUAUUUGUUUAUUUGUUUAUAUCACUCUUAAGUUUUAUUAGAAGUUCUAUCUAUCUCAUUCCCCUUGUCAAAACCAUAUCUCUACUUUUUGAAAGGAAAAGCUUAACAAAAAGUCUAGCAUUUUUCGCUCCUAUCGUUAUUAUUCCAGUUUUCCGUAAGAUUCUGCUACAGUAAGAUGCCUACAUUUUUCGACCAUGUAGCGGUAAGUGAAAUCAAUGAAGUUAUGUUUUUACAAAGUACAUGUGAUUGUUAUGUGCUAAUCUGCUCGCUGAUUUGACAGCAGUUGAUUACGGGGCGCGUAAGAUCCAAACUGCAAGGAGAGUGUGUAACUUCCAAGAUAGUCCGGUUAGCAAAAUAAUGAUCGAAUUCAAUGAAUCUUUAUGUCAGUAUCAUGAAGGCGUGUUGAAAUGUUCGGAUUUUGGUUCAAGUUUGGCUCCAGAAACACUGUGUGGGGGAGGCUUUUGAACUACCUCGUGUCUCACGUGUGAAAGCGUGAGAUCUCUCAUUUUUGCCGCAAAUGUUGACUAUGGUACUUUAGGAGAGGAUAGGGUGGGGAUGAUGGAGUGUGAUUUGUGGGCCACAACAACUAACAAGUUUAACACUAAUUUGAGCAUGUGGCGGCCGGGCCCUACCAUCAUCACUGCCGUCGUUGCGAGGGUUGUCCCCAGCAUAAGACCGUCUUAUCUGCCGAUCAGCACAUGAUCGGCACGAGAUUGGGAACGACGUUAGCGGUAAAAGAAAUAGUCUUAUGUCAGUAAUCGUCCUCAGAAGCUUCCUCUUCUUUGUAUAUAUAUGAUGUUGCAUCCACCGCCGCACGCGUUCCGACUGUUAGCUUGAUAGAGUUGAGUUCCCACUCAUAGAUCUAUUAAUUAAUAGGCCUCCAAUGUAAGACUGUUUUAUCUGCAGAUCAGUAUAAGAUUGGCAUGAAAUUGGAAACAAUGUUAACGGCAAAUGAAAGUCUUAUGUCA